Acinonyx jubatus (cheetah) is the source of this 8302-nucleotide long non-coding RNA. RefSeq lists it as uncharacterized. The transcript is spliced from 4 exons. NCBI's taxonomy places the organism in Eukaryota, Metazoa, Chordata, Mammalia, Carnivora, Felidae. The record is from RefSeq and is a predicted model, not a curated record.
GAGAGAAAGGGGAAUUGUAUGUCUGUGCCUGCUGGGCUUGGGUUUAAAAAAAGGGGGGGGGAACGUGUAACUUUUAAAUAACUCUUCUAGGAGGAGGGAGUGUGCUAGGAUCAAAGAGUUAACUGUUCCUGUGGGACAGGAGUCUUAAUAAAUUCUGGACUGUGCCAAGGGUUCCAUCCAUCCCAAAUGAAGGAGCGUAAAUUCCCCCGUGAGAUCAAAUAAAAUUGAUUUAACUUUGCAACGUUUAGCUUCAAGUUAAAAUUUAAGUGUGCAGCAGAUGAUGUUAAAAUUAUAGUCCCUCUUCAGCACGACCUCUUUUGAUACAGUUUUAAAUGCUUUUAAAAUGGGAUGUGUCGUUUAUUUAGUAACAUAGCAGUUGAUAUCCUUAGAUUGGGAUUUCAUCAUGCACUUUAAUUUUCUAGGGCAUUGGGGAUGACCAUAAUUGCUGAACAAUUCAAUGGAGUGGAAUGGGCUAAGUCAGCACUUUUUAUUGCAUUUUUCCACAUAAUAUCUGAAAUCUUCUUUCUCAUUGCAGUGUGUUUAUGAAAGCAAGGCAUUUAACCCUCACAUUUCCUGGGCUUGAAUAAUUUUCUUAAUAAGGCAUAAAACGUUUGCAAAUUUGCAUGUCAUUGUGAAGGAGGUAACUCUGUUUAGCAUGUCGGGGAUCAGGUCCUCUUGUCUGGUGCUUGACAACCUUCAGGGGAUCCUCAAGGAAAGCCAGUGUUUCCAAAGACCCUCUUUCUUCUCAAGUUUUUGUCUUCUCUCAGGCAAAGGCAAAACAUCUGCUGUGCUAGGCCAGUCUUAAGUUUAGUCUUGGAGUCUCAAAAAUGAACAGUGGAGAGGUCUGGAUAACAUUGAUGUUUCUGGGUUUGCCCAGCUGGAACUUUAAAAAUCCUAAAAGCCACCAAAAUUUCUGCUCUUUCCCUUGAUUGUCCUGGAUUAUCAGGCUGGAGAAAUGGAAUGGGUGGCUAUGUUCCAGUGCUAUUGAAUGUUGUGUGAACUUACUGAUACCAGCCUUUUCACUCUGGUAGCCUAUUCUGAUUUCUAGAAUUCUCCAGGGACCCUCCCAGCAUGUCAGAAACCAAGCACCCUGUCUGCAGGGUCAGCCCCGAUGCUAGAGAAGCUAGAAGAAAAAAAAAAUCAUGCUGUCUCAUCCCUUCCGCACUGUUAGUUGACUCACUCUGUGACUUUUAUUGCCAGAUCCAAAACUUGAUGGCCGACCUGACUAAGGUCACCAGCCCCACACAGCUAUUUAAAAAAAUUGAAAUCACUUGGCAUUUUCAGUUCUUGCCAUUUGCGAGUUUUUUCGAACAUUCUGAUGAGCAAUUCUCAAAAAUGUAUCGCCUCCAAAUGGGAAGUGCCACAGCAAAACUGAAAGUGGCACUUCAAGUGACUGGAAUCAGUCGACACUGGUGUGGUAGCUGGUAUCCAGCAUACCUGAUGUUAAAACCAGAGACGAGGGGUCUCCCAUGUCUUCUGGGCCAGUUUGUUACGCAACCUUAAGGAAUGUCUAAGGGGGGGGGGGUGGGUUUUCACGUAUGGAGAGGCUUUGAAAUGUGAACAGCUAACUUGCCGUAAUUCAUAAAAAGUUUGCCAUGAGUCAGUGACUGUAGAUAUUGUCACAUUGUGUGAACAAACAGCCUGAUUGUAAUGAUGUGGCAUUUCCUGUCCUUGUCUUCAGUAGACGAUCCGAUGUCAGGUUGCAGUUGUCUGCUGUUUUAGCUCUUCUACUUGAACCUGAAAAGGGAAACUGAUGUAAUUUCUUGAAACUCUGAAUCGCAAAGCUGGGGAGUGGCGAAUGGUACGGUAAUAACAGGAAUAGCUGAAAUUUAUUGUGAAUCUACUCUGCGCGCUGCUCUGAGAGACAACCCUGUGAGGAAGGUACUAUUGUUCUCUCACUGCGAAGUUUAGGAAGUGAGGCACGGGAAGAUAAGCCAAGUGUCCAUGGUCGUCCAGCGGUUGGUGGAGGAGGAGGCUGGGUUUAGCCAUAGCUGUCUUCAUCCAGCCUUGGGCUCCGCCAGGGGGAGGAGAAGUCAUCACUGCCUUCCCGGGCACCCAGACACAUUAGACACCACACACUGGAGUCGGGGGAGAGAGAUUGGAUUUCUUGAAGCCAUGUCAAACCCCAGUCUCUAUUAUGCCUUAAAAAAAAAAAUCCAUCUCUUCCCAUCUCUUUUUGCAAUUUAGAACACACACUUCAGUUUUUAAGAACAGAUUAUUUGAGGGGUGCUUGGGUGACUCAGUUGGUUCAGUGUCCAACUCUUGAUUUCCGCGCAGGUUCUGAUCUCAUUGUUCGUGGGACCGAGCUCCAUGCUGAUAGUGCGGAGCCUGCUUGGGAUUGUCUCUCUCCCCCUUUCUCUGCCCCUCUCCUGCUUGUGCUCUCUCUCACUCUCUCAAAAUAAAUUCAUAAACUUUAAAAAAAGAAUAGAUUAUUUUAUUGGAAAAGCAUAAUAGCCACACUGAGCUUACCACACAUCAGAAAUUAUUUAAAGUACUUUACAUUUAUUAUUCAUUUUAUUCUCAACUGUAUGAAGUGGAUAGUAUUUUUAUCACCAUUUUACAGAUGAGCAAACUGAAGCAAAGAUAGGGCAUGUCACUAAUUUAAAGUUGCCUAGUUAAGGGGAUGCAGAGAUAGACGCACACCCAGGCAGUCUGGUCCCAUGGCCCACGGUCUUGACACUACUUUCUCUGUCUCCAAUGAGCUGAGGGCUAUUCAAUGAGAUUCAAGCUUCAGGAAAAUAAUUUGGGCUGAGUUCUAUCACAGCUGAUAGUGGAAUUGGCCGUUUCGUCACUACUGUGAGCAGCACUGUCUGUGUUCCCUCUGCUGUUACAGCAGCACAUUCCAGGACAGACCCCAGGGGGAGGGUCUGCGAAGGCCUGAGUUACCCCCAAGCAGCUGAGACUGGGUGAUUUCUAACCCUUACUUCUCUAUGCCCUGGUUCUCUUGCCUCAGAACCAAGGCCUGACAACAAUGGCCUCUUUUAUUUGUGGUGUUUUCCAAAGCAAUCUCGCACGCAUUUCCUCGUGUGAUAGGAGUCUCACCAAGGUUCUGUGGGCAUGUGAUUGUGCAAGAACCGUCUUCAAGAAUUGUGAACCAAAAGGGCGGGACCCAAAACCUGGUUUUUUGAUUCUAAGCCAAAACACGUUUAAACCAUAUCCCUGAUUCUGUCUCCGGUAGAGACAACAUCUAAGAACAAGUUUCCCUGUCAUGUUGCAGUUUCUGUGGUAGAUUGUGACCCCUUUUUCUUACAGCGGGUCUGUAUGCAGCGGUCUGACUGGCCACGGGAACUGGCUGAAGACCACUCACGUGCUCACGCUGUAUUCUGUGCUCGGAUCCACCUGUCGUGGUGGACACCUUACAGCAACAGAUAUGAAAUUGACCAGCAAGGGCACAAUCGACAAUAAAGAGCCUAAAGAGAGAGUUCCUGGACCUGAGCUGGAAGCGGUGGUGCCCAGAAAGCACACGUGCCGAUUGGACAAUUAGACAAAGAGUCGAACUCCCAUCCAACUGGAGUAAUUCAUCAAGGAUUUUUGAUGGCAGCUCUGAGAGUUUCCGAGGUUACUGUAGAAAUCCUGUCGCUCCUUUUAAUAUGCCUGACUUCAUGGAAGGGGAGAAGAAGUGCCAAAGAGGAAACAGGAGGCAAGAGGAGGUAGUGAACCAACAACAGAAAACAAGGGGAGGACAGUACUUCACAUCUCUUCUGAAGAGAUCAUUUUAUUUUAAGUUCUCCCAGAAAUUAUAUCAGAACAAUUUUUUUCCUGAAAUAAUAUAUACAGCUAUUAAUAGCAUAGUAUUCCCUAUUAGCUUCCACUCUUACCAGCAUAGGGAAGGCAAUUCCCUCAAUAUUGACUGAGAGCCCCUGUGUUAGGUGCUGAGGUACAAAAUGAAACCAAGGAGUCCUGAGGACCCGGUGGCAGAACCGUGUAAAAUAUGGUUUCUCUGAACAUGACCCCUCUGGUCAGAGGUGGGUCGGCCAGGGCUUUGUCUGUUCAAAGCCAAGCCCAGCCACAUGGGAUAGAGAUCGGAUGUGCUGGGGCGGACCAGGGGCCAAGAUAACCAGGGAUCUGGCUUUGAAUCACUCUGGUAUUCGAGCUUUUUUUCCCUGAAGAAAAAUGAGAAAAUACUGGUCAUGUGGCUGUUGAGUAUUUUUCAAUAAGCAAGCCUUAUUUUUAUCAUGUUGUGAAAUGCUUGUCCCCGAGAGCUCUCUUUAGGUGCAUGGUAAGUGCUGCUAUACCAAUCGGAUGCCCUCAUGCCAAGAGGCUGGCAUUUUGAUUUUUGUGGGCCCUAAGCACUUUUACCUCUGUUGACCUCUUCCCCUCAAAAACGAAAAAAACAGAUUAAAAGUUAUAUUUUCAAAUUUUAUUUUUUAAAUUAUAUCUUAUAACUGCAUUUGUGGAAAGAUGCAUAUUAUGUAUAAAUUUUACAUUAAUAUUAUAUAUAAAACAUUUUUCAUCCUAAAAGUGGAUAUUUUUGCCUCCUGAAUUGAAAAGAACUUACAACAUUUCUGUGGGUCCCUAACGUCUCGUGGUCCUAGCGAUGACCUGCUAUGCCUCAUGUGGAAGUUGGUCCCAGAUGCCACCCUAAGCCUCCCUGCCACAUUAACGCCUCCACUGGAGAUGGCAGUAGACGUAGAUGGCAUCGUUCUGAACUCACUGUGGCCUCAUGCCCCAACCAGCUGGCAGGUAGAGACGCCACAUUAGCUCUUCUUCCUACGCAUGUGUUCAGGUCAGUGUUGUUUCAUAUUUCUUGUAGCAGUUCAAGGCAUUCACGUGGCUUUUCGCUCUGCUGCCUGCUGUAUGUCCCGCAACGGCAUUCACAGAGACGAAUAGGAUGAGUUGUACAACAGAAUCAUUCAAGCGGUAGAACAAUUCUGAAACCCAAGUGGGGAGGAAUUGCUUGCACUUCUCUCAUGGAUUAGCUGAAAAUCCAAUGCAAGUAGUCAGUGGCUAUUCGAUUCAUAACAAACACUGCUGAUGGAAAGAACCAACAGAGAAUAAAAUCGACAAAGGCUAAAGCUGCACAUGGUGAGACUUACUAUUGCCAAGCGCGGACAGGAAAACUAAAAUCCUGGCAAAAUUUGGAUCUGCAAAAUUGGACACAGGAAAAUUGGAUUUCAUAAAAAUAAAAGAUACAGAACACAUUGCACAUUGUCAAAAGUCUAUGAAAGAUGAUAAAUCAAAAGCAACCAAUGAACAAACCCUUGAGAAGGUGAAAAGGCAAAUGGAAAAUAAUUAAUCCUGAUUCAAGUAACUUUUCUAACGCGAAUGCACGAUAUAAAAGUAUCACUGCAUUGUAAAGAAAAAUUUUCAUAAAUUAAAGCGUGGGUAAUAGAAUUCACUUUGGAAAAUUAAUUAAUGUGAAUAAAAUUCUAAUUAAAAUUCUAGGAAAAGCAGGGCUGGAAAUAUGCAGGGCAACAAGAGAUGAAUUGAUUGAUUUUUAAAUAUUUAUUUAUUUUGAGAGAAAGAGAGAGGAGAGAGAGAGAGAGUGAGAGAAAAAGAAUCUUAAGCAGGCUCCACACUGUCAGUGCAGAGCCCCACACAGGGCUUGAUCCCACGACUGUGAGAUCAUGACCCAAACCUAAAUUAAGAGUCAGACACUCAUCUGACCGAGCCACUCAGGUGCCCCAACAAGAGAUUUUUUUUUUAAAUGGCAGAAUUUGCCUCCAGCUGGCUCGUGGGGCAAGUGCAACCUCAAAGAGAAUAAAAGCAAAAAAAUCUCCCUUUGUAAAUGUUGUCUCCUUUGAUCCCACAUCCACUGGUAUCUGGAACUGUCCUUUUAGAACAUUCCAAUGCAGUUAUAGUAGAAUCCGUACAUGUCUAACUAAAUUAACAUUUUAAAACUUUAUUGCAGGAAAAGAAACUUUUAAAAUAAGAUGUUCUUGGGGAACCUGAAUGUCUCAGUCAGUUAAGCAUCCAACUCUUAAUUUUGGUUCAGGUCAUGAUCUCAUGAUUUGUGGGAUGAAGCCCCGUGUCGGGCUCUGUGCUGACAGCAUGGAGCCUGCUUGGGAUUCUCUCUCUACCUCUCUGUGCCCCUCCCCCACUUGCACGUGCUCUCUCUCUCUCUCUCUCUCUCUCUCAAAAUAAACAAACUUUAAAAAAGUGCUUUAAUAACUUAAAAGUGUAUUAAGACUUUGGGACCCUAUAUCUCUUUACACCAUUUUAACUCUGAAUUUUGGUUAAUUCCAUCAUUUUAAUUAUUAUUACAAUUAUUAUUAGAGCUUCUCCAAGACUGAAGUUUGCAAAACCAGUCUGGAUAGAGCAAAGUUGUCACAUCAGAGAUCUGUGUACAUUCAAGAGAGAAAGAGAGUCUUCUGGGUUUAGAAUAAAUUGACUCACUAACAGGAAUGUAGAGGUGGGCAUUGCACUUUGGAGAGCAUUGUUUCUAUUCCAAAUUAUAAAAUUAUAUAUCCCAGUUAAUAUUACCAGAAGCAAUUUCAAUGGUUCCCUUUAGUACAAUAGGUUGUGAGCCUCUCAGGACGUAAUUGGUUGCUAAGGAAAACCAUGAGAAAAUAGACAGAGAUAUAAGAUACGCUCCAAUUUCUCAGAAGUACCUUCUGAUCCAAUCAUACCAACUGUUCCCAGAGCUUAUGGCCUCAUCAUCUUUUAAAAAUCACAUUGCCUUGAAACACCUGUAUCCUAACCCAAACUGCUCUAUUUUUGCAGUAUGUCAUCUGUGAUUACACUUCCUAGUUUUUGGCAUGUCUGUAAGUAGAGUGCAUCAGGCUAACACUGACUAUUCAGGAGCUCCCCCAGAAACAUCUGGAAACUUCUAAAAUCAGGACAAAGAAAUUCCAGUUCCCUUUUGUACUCUCCCUAGAGCUGUCCUUCUGAAUUUAGUUUUUCACCCAAAAGACUCUUCUCUGGGUGUCAUUUCGUUCAGAACCCGCACUGUAGAAUAGGCCAAUAUUUAACAAUAAUAUAGUACAAUCAGCUAAUGUUCAUACAGAAGACUUUCAGGUCAGAAAAUAAAAGGUUGACCUGGAAAGUUCCUUAGAAUCUAGCAGUUUCAAUCUAUUCACUUUACAGACAAAGAAAUUUUAUAGAGAUAUAGAGAUGAGAGAAAAUGAGAUGAAGAAUCCAUACUCUUUUUUACCAUUAGAACAAGGCAUUCGAGAAAACAUAGGGAAAUGAACAGAAAAUUGUAGACCCACCUAGUGUCUAGGAAGAAAACUCCAUGAACCAUCUGUCUUACUGACUACUGUGUCUCUAGUUCCUCACCCAUGCUUGAAACUCAAAAAACUUUGUGUUAUGAAUAAAUGGCAGACUUUAAGUAAAUCACCUAAGUACACACCUAAUUGUGGAGACUAGCAGAAUGGGCAUGUGAAUGGACCUGGAAUGCCUCUCUGGAUUGCCCAUCAACAAGGGAGUGGAGAUUGAUAUUUCUACCUCUUUCAGGUCCUAAAUUCCUUUAGGACCAGAGACAUCUCUUGUUCCAGAGGGAAAGGUUGUUUCCAAACUCAACUUCCCACAAAUUUAGGACCCCCAAGGCCUCCAGGUUCUAGGCCUUUGGCAUUUCCUAGCAAUCCCUUAAACAGCUAGAGUCUAAGGUUAGGCAAGUUGGUAGCUGAGCUCAAAAUAUUUAUUCCCCCGGAGCAGGACUGCGCUCUCACUGAGGGUCCUGAUCUGGAAAGACACUCCACUCCCAUAGACAGGAAGACCAGGAAGUGGGAUAUCCCCUUGGAUCACUGUCCCUGCUGAAUGUCUGUCUCUGCUCUGGCCACAGUGUGCCUUUCUGGGGAUGCCAAGACAAGAGAGCACAUAUCUGUGGAGCCAUCUUUGAGUUUUAUCUUUCUCACAGCUGGUCACCUGACCCCAACUCACAACACCAGAGAUAGUAUAGAAUCGUAGUCAUUUUCAGAACUGGAAGCUAUUCCCAUUUUACAAAUGUGAGAACUAAAGUCCAAAUAAAUGUGUGUCUGGUCAUAAGUCACAUGGUGAGUAAUGGCAGGGUUGGAAGAGCCCCUGCCUUGUCAGAUUGGUUAUGUAGUCACUUAGGUUGAUGAAAGAUGAUUGAUGCCAAUUUUGGGGCCCAUGGAGUGGAAGGGCCUUGACAUAAGCUUUGGAACUACAGCAUCCCUCCCAUGAAUCAUGGAAAGUCUAAUGUCUUCCCAGGAUUUCUGCAAAUUCCUUAUGGGUUUAUAUUCUCAGAAUAAUCUUUGGCACCCAUUUCUGCUGAUUAGUUGAAUUUAGAGAAUUUAGUCUUCAAAUUUCCAGUGGCAUCAUAAGUUUGAUUUGCUUAAAUCAGGAUUCAAAUAAGGUCCACACGUCGUGAUUAGUGGAAAUGUUUCUAAAGUCUUUUUUU